This 86-nucleotide transfer RNA is filed under the name Dehalococcoidales bacterium. Its description in RNAcentral is "tRNA-Leu". It matches the Rfam family "tRNA". Rfam says of the family: Transfer RNA (tRNA) molecules are approximately 80 nucleotides in length. Their secondary structure includes four short double-helical elements and three loops (D, anti-codon, and T loops). Lineage: Bacteria; Bacillati; Chloroflexota; Dehalococcoidia; Dehalococcoidales. The record is from RNAcentral.
GCCGGGGUGGCGGAAUGGUAGACGCGCUAGCUUGAGGGGCUAGUGAGCGUAAGCUCGUGGGAGUUCAAAUCUCCCCUCCGGCACCA